RNAcentral lists this ribosomal RNA (253 nucleotides) under uncultured bacterium. Its description in RNAcentral is "partial 16S ribosomal RNA". It matches the Rfam family "Bacterial small subunit ribosomal RNA", at positions 524 to 776 of the family's 1533-position model. The record is from RNAcentral.
UACGGGGGGGGCAAGCGUUGCUCGGAAUCAUUGGGCGUAAAGCGCACGUAGGCGGCUUCGCAAGUCGGAUGUGAAAUCCCACGGCUCAACCAUGGACGUGCAUCCGAAACUGCAAGGCUUGAGUAUGGAAGAGGGUCGCGGAAUUCCCGGUGUAGAGGUGAAAUUCGUAGAUAUCGGGAGGAACACCAGUGGCGAAGGCGGCGACCUGGGCCAAUACUGACGCUGAGGUGCGAAAGCGUGGGGAGCAAACAGG